UGCCGGAUGACGGGUGUCUUACCAGGCAAAGUUAGAUCUGCAUCCUUCUGUCUAAUACUGUCUGGUAAUGCCGUCUGUCACAUGGCUGCUGACACCUUCACCUG
Procavia capensis (Cape rock hyrax) is the source of this 104-nucleotide microRNA precursor. The record is from Ensembl. NCBI's taxonomy places the organism in Eukaryota, Metazoa, Chordata, Mammalia, Hyracoidea, Procaviidae.